Molecule: transfer RNA, 93 nt
Filed under: Salmo salar (Atlantic salmon)
Lineage: Eukaryota; Metazoa; Chordata; Actinopteri; Salmoniformes; Salmonidae
Rfam family: tRNA
About the family: Transfer RNA (tRNA) molecules are approximately 80 nucleotides in length.
Source: Rfam by way of RNAcentral
UUCCCUGUGGCUCAGUUGGUAGAGCAUGGUGUUUGCAACGUGAGCAUGGUGUGUGCAACGCCAGGGUUGUGGGUUCGAUUCCCACGGGGGGGU